Long non-coding RNA from Gasterosteus aculeatus aculeatus (three-spined stickleback), 3334 nucleotides. The record is from Ensembl. NCBI's taxonomy places the organism in Eukaryota, Metazoa, Chordata, Actinopteri, Perciformes, Gasterosteidae.
CCCGAAUCAGCCCAGAAUGAGCCAGCUGACACCUCUGAUGACUCAGUUUCUCUCCACGUUGAAGGUGCGGUUCAUGAGCGCUGGAGCGCGUCACUAAGCCCCGCCCCCCCCGCUCGCUAUGACUCCGUCAAACCGUCAGAGCAACAUCACCAUGGAGACCGAACUGUCGCUAGCUUAAUGAAUGUGGUGUUGUCUGAGGGGAGGAAACCAAGUAACAACUCAACAGAGAAACAGACAUGAGUUUCUAAAACGUUUCGGCGGAGGACACGUUUAAGAUGAUAAGAUGAUAAGAUAAAACGAAAAGACAGAAGCGAAAGCUAAAGCUAAUAGCAUCAAAGUCAAUCAAACACAGCAUAGCAUAGAAGUGCUACCGCCAGGUGAUAAAGCGCUAACACUAGUUUAAUGGUCUGCUAGUGUUUUCUCCACACUUUUUUUCUUUGCAACGGAACCUUUUUUCUAAGUCUGAAACGUCAGCUCGAAGGUCUUCAGAAAAGCACACGGUGGGACAGGAGGACAAGACACUCCACUCCAACUACCGAAACUAACGGGAAAAAGAGGACCAGUGAAAUGGUUUCAAAUCAGAGACACUGACAGUAACUCAAAUGACAAAUUAUUCACCGUCGUCUUCUGCUUGAUGUAUCCGACUGUGAGUCUUAAAUUAUUCCAACAGCUGAACUUUUCCUUAUUAACCGUGUGUGUGCGUGCGUGUCUGCGUGCAUGUGUGUGUGCGUGUGUGUGCGUCUGCGUGCAUGUGUGUGUGUGUGUGUGUGUGUGUGUGUGUGUGUGUGUGUGACAGUUGCAGACUGUUCCUCUCUUCCAGCUGACUGGGAAGCUGCAGAGGGCGAGAGCUGCAUGUAAAAAGGUCCAAUAAUAUGAGGCGUAGUCGCCUCAUUACCGGCCGCUUCAUUUCCUCUCUCUGUCUCGUCGGGGCCCACUCAGGUAGAAAGGCCGUGCUUUCAUAAAGAGAGUGUCUCAGUGGGGCGUUUUGAAUAUAUUAAUAUAUUAAUGCUUGUGUCAGGGACACCCGGUGUCAUGAUGGAGCUUUAGAUAUCGAUGGCUUCAUGUGAACGUGUGGAAAUGGUGCGUGGACGUCUCAAACUUCCUUCCCGGUUCAGGUUCAUCUCGGUAAUAUUGUUAAAAUGUAUGUAUUUUUGGGCUGUUUGUGUCGUAUUACGUCAGAAAAGUGGUUGCAACUGUGAGCAAAGAAUUGGGAGCCAUUUACCCAGAAGGCUUUUCAACAGCGAGCGAUUUUUAAAAACACUUCUAAUAAGAAGUCGUUGUUGUGCAGAAAGGCUCCAGCUGACUGGAAGGUGAUGGAGGUUUUAUGCAUCAGUGUUGAAUUAGCAUUGGAGACGGGGUGUCGUUUCAACUACUUUAGAGUUCAAACUGUUCAUUCCAAAGGUCUGAAAUAAACUCAUCGGGGGCUAAAGAUCAACCGGAGAGGAAAGAACACAAAAAGAAAAAGCUUUGCCAGGAAAAAAUAACUUUUUUAUUGGGUCCGUGUCAAGAGCAGAUGAGAGAGCGCUUCAGAAAAACAGAAGGAAACGCAAAUAAAAGACAAUCAAACCGCGGACGUGAAGUGCAGAUUCAGAGCUGAGAACAUAGAAGUCGCUAUCCAUCAUCUUUAUCCCAAUAUCAAGAUAUAUAUCCGCAUUCUGUUUUUCUAAAUAUGGGAUCAUUUGAUGUCAGUGGGACAAAUAAUUUGAAUAAAAGUUUAUUUUGGUUUUCGGCUUUUGUAAAAUAUUGUUAAGUGGCUCAUCACGUUUUUUUUAUUUAUUUAACAGAAAAUACAUUUUGAAGGAAAAAUAAUGCCGUGCAGGCUACAUUCUAAUAUAAUGAAACGCAUCCAAUGAGUACCUGAGUGCGGUACUUAUGUAUUUAUGUAUUUAAGUACGCACAAACUUUCCUGCUUCUCUGGUGUCCUUGAACACAAGACACAAGACGACCACGAGUCUCUUUGUGAUAUUUAACAGUGCUGACCUUUCAAGAGGAAAGGUAAAGUACAUCAUGUAUACAAACAAGCACUCCUCAGGGCGUCCUUCACCUUUGACCUCUGCACCUCUCACAGUUUGAUUUGAGGCUGAACCAUUUCCUGUUUCGAGAGGCGCCAGAAAGGAAAAAAAAAGUGGCGGUUCCUUUUCCCACAGAGAGACGACUCGCAGCGUUUCCUACAGAGUAUUGAGUGUAGAACUCGGUCAGGGGGUUCUGUUCAAAGGUCAGGCGCCUUGCUCAAAGGCAGCAGGGAGCAGGAAGAUGACAGGAGGCCAAACGUCUCAUCGGCGCAGACGUUUCAGGUGGUCGGGACAACAGGAUGUCUUCCCGGGCAGCAAACAGGGGCGUCUCCGACAAGUUCUUCUCGACAUCUGACGUCUCUCGGACUGUAACUGCAGACGAGGACGUGACCUCAAACGACCCGUAGGGGUUAAAAGGAGAUAAGAAACGAAUCCACAAAGGUUUCUGCGACGCCAGGGCGGUUAACAAAGCUCCAGCGUGUUCACGAACCCUCACUUGUUGAGCCUAAAGGACUUUGGACUCAACCUCAAUGUUUCACACUGGAAUAUAAUAAUGGCGUUAAAACAAACCGCUCCAACGGCCUCCGGGCGACAUGGGAGCCAGACGUCUGGACAAAUGUUUUACAGAGCUCUCCGGAUUCACCGCCUCACUGUAGACCAACCGGAACAAGAGAAACCAAACAAACCCAGAGAGAGAGAGAGAGGGAGAGGGGGGGAGAGAGGGAGGGAGGUGAAUGGAGUCCCGACUCGCUGUGUGAGUCUGCAGCAUCACACAUGGAGGACACAUGAUCGCACAUCGCAGCUUUUAUUGGGCACAACCAAAAGGCUGUGAGAGGGACCCUCUGCUCCCCCCCCCCCCCUCGCUCCCCCAGCGCCGCCCUGACACCAAGCCGCCGCCUCAUCCUGCUGCAGCAUUCAUUAAAUGACCCGAUAAGUCCGGGGGGGGGGGGGCGACCAGCCGAGUUGUUGGCGUCGGCCUCGUGGAGCUGAGCUGCCGGCAGAUAAGGAAAAGCUAAUUAACGGGCACAUCUGUGCGCCUCAUGGCCGCGUCGGAGAGGACCCAGGCGACGGGGUCGGUUGGAGGCAAUGCGAAAGGGAGAAGAGGGGGGGGGGGGGGGGGGCGGUGAAGACGGACAUAAAGGCAGACGAAGAGACAAGGUCUGUUAGUUUAUCAACAUCCUGUUCGUCCCUCUGGACCCCUCGGACCUCCAACAUCUGGCCCCCGGAGGCCCACAUCUGGUCCUCCUCGCGGCCGCAGGUCCCGACCAACAAGUCGCUGCUUCGACUGGCGGAGAAUCACAUGGCGCCCAAAUGAAAACAGG